GUCUUCGUAGCUUAACAGUAAAGCAUGGCACUGAAGAUGCCAAGAUGACCCACCACAUGUCCGAUGACA
This 69-nucleotide transfer RNA is filed under the name Coragyps atratus (black vulture). Its description in RNAcentral is "tRNA-Phe". It matches the Rfam family "tRNA". From Rfam's summary of the family: Transfer RNA (tRNA) molecules are approximately 80 nucleotides in length. Their secondary structure includes four short double-helical elements and three loops (D, anti-codon, and T loops). Lineage: Eukaryota; Metazoa; Chordata; Aves; Accipitriformes; Cathartidae. The record is from RNAcentral.